UAAUCUCCUUUCAGGCAGUGGAAGACAACAAACACCUCUUUAGCUUUCUCACCCCGCAGUUUGAACUUCCCCAGUGCUUUCAGCAUCUCUGCAUGUAGCAUGUGCUUCAGCACCCGAUCAUGCUGAUGGCCUUUGGCUGAGCUCUCCCUGGGAUGUCAGCAAACCAUGUUGCAUCUUGUUGGUGCCAUCAGCUAUGAGUGUGGACAUUUACUUUGGCCCAGAGAGAGGGGAAUAAGCUAUAUUCCAAAUAACCUCUGGACUAUGUACUUGAAUUAAAGAACAUAAAGGAGCGAGCAGCGCCAUGUAAGCAGCUGUGGACUGGCAUGAAGAUAGAUGGUGUCUGGGACGAGACGGGGCAAAAAGAAAAGAAGCAAAAGGUUUUUUCCAUUGCGGCAGAGCUCUGUCAUGGACGUGGCGUCGGGAGCUGUGGAGGCUGUGCCUGUGGGGAGGGUAGGUUGUGGGGUCUCAGUGCCUUGGGGCAGGGAUUUCCUAUCUGCUGUUGCUCUGGAAAGGGAGCUCCACUGCUGUUCUCCACGCAUGUGCAAGGACCUGCUGCUUCUUACAAGCUUUUGCCAUCCAAACUCCUCCAUGCCUAAGGACACCUGCUGGGCCCGGGGGCAGCAAGGUGUGCACUUGGCUUUGUUCACGAGGAUAAUCUCCUUUUGCUCUGCCCAUUGGGCUUUGAGCAAACCUACUCCAUCCCCCAGGCUCUUUCCCUCAGGUUUAAGGAUAUUGCUUGUGCUCCUGCAGUCUGGAAAUAUUUGUGAGGAUCUUGGUUGGGCUGGAGCUUAGACAAGGACAAAAUGUUUGCCUUUUUCUUGGCAGAUUAGCCAUAGGAGGCUCCUCAGUCCCUCCCUGUAUCCCAUUGCAGUCCCGUAUCUCCCCUUGCUGUCCUACAGCAGACUGUUUCCAGACACUUCAAUGCUGCCUCUGCUCCUGAUAGCCCUGAGCUAGCCUCAGCAUUUUUCUCAUCAGUGUGCACUGAGAUGUAUGCAGAAAUCACUGACUGCCCCCGUCUCACUUAUCUGAGGUCUCAGUCUGAGCCUUGGUUUCCAUUUGCUCCAUAACUCAUCAGUGUUAAGCUGCUCCUCAUAAAUAGCAGCUUCUAGCAUGUCUUCUGUCAUCUGUAGCUUGUAUUUGUGUGCAAGAGGGAGAAAACAGGUCUAAUUUACAUCAGUGCAGCUGGCUCCUCUGAUCUGCCACCUGGAGACUUGGCUGACUGGGAAUGUGUCUGCAGAGGGGCCAGACCUUUGUUUCCUCCAGCUGCACCAGUCUCUGCACUGGUCACCUGCUGGCAGAGGGCAAACAUACCCCUUGACCUCAACCCUCAGGGACCUGCUGGGCAGUUUUAGUGGAUGCUGUGGACUGCAAGAAGGAUGCACGUGUCCUAGCAGUGCAGCAGGUUCCAGCGACCCUCUUGCCAGAUGUGCUGUGCAAAAGUUGAAGUGUAUUUACAGAGGCAUGCCCUGCCCUGUGGUUACAGUCUGUCUGUCCUUUGAGGAUGUUAGGGCUUUAACUCUCCUCGCUGCAGGCUCAUGCUGCUCUUGUGUGACUGGCUAGAUGUACAUGUAUGGUCUGAGUCAAGGUGCUGUUGUAUGCUGCUUGGGUUGCUCAGUUAUCAACGUGGGAUGGUUAAAAGUCUUACACUGGGGCAGGCCAAGAGAUUUUGACAAACUUUGACAUUUAAUGCAAUGAUGCUCUAUUUCCUGAACUCCAAGAAGGUGGUCCAGGGACUUUUGGCUUUUACUUGGGGUGUUUUAUUUAUAUUUUUUAUUUAUUUAUUUUUUUCAGAUUGGUAUUUUAUUUGGCACCAAAGAAAAGAGCAGUCAGUAAAGGAAAGAGUUUGGAAAAAAUGCUUUAUACGUGCAAGACCGAUUAGCAAGGCAAGAGACAUGGCUGUGCAGCAGGUUUUCUGAGGAGAGGAUUCACAUCAAAACUAUUGGGUGUCUGUGACACUUUCGAAGGUACAGGGAAAAACCCAUCAACAACAAAACUGUGACGCUGUCAGCAGCUGCCUGACGUACCUGGGGCUGUGUAUGUCCCUUGGUGAACGUCAGAGCUCCUCAGCGAGGGGGGAAGAUAAUUCUCACUGGAACAAAUCCCACUGAGAUGAUAUUUUCCCUGGACUACUUUUUUUUUUUUUUUUUUUUCUUUCCUAGAAAUAAAAUCACUUCAAGUGCAAUACA
This 2186-nucleotide long non-coding RNA is filed under the name Anas platyrhynchos platyrhynchos (common mallard). Its description in RNAcentral is "lncRNA (ENSAPLG00000030660.1)". Lineage: Eukaryota; Metazoa; Chordata; Aves; Anseriformes; Anatidae. The record is from RNAcentral.